RNAcentral lists this ribosomal RNA (465 nucleotides) under uncultured bacterium. RNAcentral describes it as "partial 16S ribosomal RNA". It matches the Rfam family "Bacterial small subunit ribosomal RNA", at positions 338 to 795 of the family's 1533-position model. The record is from RNAcentral.
CCUACGGGAGGCAGCAGUAGGGAAUCUUCCACAAUGGGCGAAAGCCUGAUGGAGCAACGCCGCGUGGGUGAAGAAGGUCUUCGGAUCGUAAAACCCUGUUGUUAGAGAAGAAAGUGCGUGAGAGUAACUGUUCACGUUUCGACGGUAUCUAACCAGAAAGCCACGGCUAACUACGUGCCAGCAGCCGCGGUAAUACGUAGGUGGCAAGCGUUAUCCGGAUUUAUUGGGCGUAAAGGGAACGCAGGCGGUCUGUUAAGUCUGAGGUGAAAGCCUGCGGCUUAACCGGAGUAGUGCAUUGGAAACUGGGAGACUAGAGUGCAGGAGAGGUGAGUGGAACGCCAUGUGUAGCGGUGAAAUGCGUAGAUAUAAGGAAGAACACCAGUGGCGAAAGCGGCUCUCUGGUCUGUAACUGACGCUGAGGUUCGAAAGCGUGGGUAGCAAACAGGAUUAGAUACCCCGGUAGUC